UAAGGAAUAUUGGUCAAUGGACGCAAGUCUGAACCAGCCAUGCCGCGUGGAGGAUUAAGGCCCUCUGGGUUGUAAACUCCUUUUAUCUGGGAAGAAAUGUACUUUUUCUUGAGUACUUGACGGUACCAGAGGAAUAAGCACCGGCUAACUCCGUGCCAGCAGCCGCGGUAAUACGGAGGGUGCAAGCGUUAUCCGGAUUCACUGGGUUUAAAGGGUGCGUAGGUGGGCAGGUAAGUCAGUGGUGAAAUCUCCGGGCUUAACCCGGAAACUGCCGUUGAUACUAUUUGUCUUGAAUAUUGUGGAGGUCAGCGGAAUAUGUCAUGUAGCGGUGAAAUGCUUAGAUAUGACAUAGAACACCAAUUGCGAAGGCAGCUUACUACACAAUCAUUGACGCUGAGGCACGAGAGCGUGGGGAUCAAACA
This 422-nucleotide ribosomal RNA is filed under the name uncultured bacterium. RNAcentral describes it as "bacterial SSU rRNA". It matches the Rfam family "Bacterial small subunit ribosomal RNA", at positions 355 to 774 of the family's 1533-position model. The record is from RNAcentral.